GGAUCAAUAUGCCGGUCAUGCCUUGGUAUGCACUGGUAUCUUUGAUUUCUCCCUUCUGACGAACUUUGAUGUCAUUAAUUUGGUGUCAUAGGGAAUCAGGACUGUUACUUUGAAAAAAUUAGAGUGUUUAAAGCAGGCUCACGCUUGAAUACAUUAGCAUGGAAUAAUGAAAUAGGACGUUUGAUUCUAUUUUGUUGGUUUCUAGGAUCGACGUA
RNAcentral lists this ribosomal RNA (215 nucleotides) under Campeiostachys nutans. RNAcentral's name for it is "Elymus nutans partial small subunit ribosomal RNA". The stretch from base 37 to 215 matches the Rfam family "Eukaryotic small subunit ribosomal RNA", at positions 684 to 864 of the family's 1831-position model. The record is from RNAcentral. Lineage: Eukaryota; Viridiplantae; Streptophyta; Magnoliopsida; Poales; Poaceae.